Molecule: ribosomal RNA, 248 nt
Filed under: uncultured bacterium
Lineage: Bacteria
Description: partial small subunit ribosomal RNA
Rfam family: Bacterial small subunit ribosomal RNA
Source: RNAcentral
AGAAUCAACGCUGGCGGCGUGCCUAACACAUGCAAGUCGAACGAGAAAGUGGAGCAAUCCACAAGUAAAGUGGCGCACGGGUGAGUAACACGUGACUAACCUACCCUUGAGUGGGGGAUAACCUAGAGAAAUCUGGGCUAAUACCGCAUAAUACCUUCGGGUCAAAGGAGCAAUUCGCUUAAGGAGGGGGUCGCGGCCGAUUAGUUAGUUGGCGGGGUAAUGGCCCACCAAGACUAUGAUCGGUAUCC